Long non-coding RNA from Leptinotarsa decemlineata (Colorado potato beetle), 741 nucleotides. The record is from RefSeq and is a predicted model, not a curated record. Lineage: Eukaryota; Metazoa; Arthropoda; Insecta; Coleoptera; Chrysomelidae.
UCCAAUGUCUUAAGAACUUCAACUUUAUAUUAAUUUCAGAUCUUGUUUCCUGCCACCGGUGUUAUAAGAAGUAUAAAAAUGCAAACACACUCAGAAUGCAUUUAAUUCUCGACUGUGGAAAACCUAAAAGUUAUGAGUGCGGUGUUUGUGGCAAGAAAUUUAGAAGACCCGUACACUUGAAGCAACACGUCAGGGUGCACUUCUAAUGCUUUCAGACUGUACGGUUGUGCUUAAUAAAUGCAUUUUCGAAUGAAGUUUACGUUUUAUUAUGGGCACUGUAGAAAUGGAUGUACACUUUCAGUAAUGAAAUGUUUCAGUGUUCUGCAAUCUACACUGCCAAUGAUUGAAUCAACAUUAGUACCACCAAAUACAAAACCAAAUCGACCAGGAUUCAAUACAGUUAAUAAUCCAGUGAUUCCGGAUCGUUUUCCUCGUAGCAGAACAGCCAUCACCAGAGCACAAUCUGAAAAGUUGAUGCAAGCGUUCAUGAUGAACCCAUUUCCACAUGAAGAUGUCAAGAGAAAAUUGGAGGUUGACUUAAGCCUUUCUUAUAAAGUUAUCAACACCUGGUUUAAAAAUAGAAGACAUAUAGACAAAAAAUUUAUUCAGAGAAAAUACUUCGCCAAAAAUUGAACUCACAAUGAUCAUUUCACGCUGCAAUGUUCAUUUAAACGAAAUUGAAUAAUCAUUGAAUAAUUUUGUGAGGAAGAUUUCUUAUUAAAUUAUUUGAUAAUUGCUCAA